GCAUGGACAUGGUGCAUGGACCAAUGGUGCUCAGGCACGGUGCUCGGCCGUGCACCGUGAACAUGGUGGUCAACCACGGUGCUUGGCCAUGGUGCGUGGACACGGUGCUGGGGCGCGGUGCUCGGACACGAUGUGUGGACAUGGUGCUCAGCCAGGGGGUGUGAACGUGGUGCUCGGCCAUGGUGCUCAGACGUGGUGCGUGGACAUGAUGCUCAGCCGCGAUGCGUGAACAUGGUGCUUGGCCGCGGUGCUUGGACUUCGGUGUGUGGACAGGGUGCUCAACCAGGGGGUGUGAACAUGGUGCUUGAACAUGGUGCGUGGACACGGUGCUCGGGCAGGGUCCUCAGCCCGGCGCAGGGGGUGUUGUGCAUGCACGAUGCACGGGCACGGUGCACGGGCACGAUAUGUUGGUGUGGUGCUCAGGCACCAUGCAUGGACGUGGUGCUUGGACGUGGUGCUCGGGCAUGGUGGUUGGGGACGGUGCCCAACCAUGGUGCUUGAAUGGGGUGCAUGGGCUCGGAGAGGGUGCUCGGGCACGGUGCAAGGGCAUGGUGCAUGGACACGGUGCUUGGGCAUGCUCCACAGAUACGGUGCACGGGCACGGUGCUUGCCCACCAUGCACAGACACGGUGCUUGGGCACGGUGGUUGGGCAUGAUGCUCACCCACCAUGCAUGGACACGGUGGUUGGGCAUGGUGCUCACCCAUCAUGCGUGGACACGGUGCUUGGGCAUGGUGGUCACCCACUAUGCGUGGACACGGUGCUUGGGCAUGGUCAUUGGGCACUGUGGUCACCCACCAUGUGUGGAUACGGUCUUUGGGCACGGUGUUUGGGCAUGGUGCUUGCCCACCUUGCACAGCCAUGGUGCUUGGCCACGGUGGUUGGGCAUGGUGCUCACCCACCACGCAAGGACACGGUCUUUGGGCUCGGUGGUCACCCACCGUAUGUGUUCAUGGUGCUUGGCCAUGGUGCUUGGGCACAGUGCUCACCCACCAUGUGUGGACGUGGUCCUUGGGCUCGGUGGUCAACCACCAUGCGUGGACGUGGUCCUUGGGCUCUGUGGUCACGGUGCUUGGGCACAGUGGUCACCCACCAUGUGUGGACAUGGGCCUUGGGCACAGUGGUCACCCACCAUGCGUGGACAUGGUCUUUGGGUGUGGUGGUCACCCACCAUGCGUGGUCAUGGUGCUUGGCCAUGGUGGUCACCCACCACGUGUGGUCACGGUGCUUGGUCACGGUGCUUGCCCACCACGCACGGACACGGUGCCCCCCCACGGUGCUUCACCGCGCUGUGGGCACACGAGACACACAACCCCCCCCCCAGAGCCCAGACCCCCAGCACCGUCCCACCACCCGCUGCAGGACCACCCUCCCGGCACCGUCCCCCAGCCCUGGUGUCCCCCCCCCUGCCCCGCGCCCCUCAGCACCGGGCUCCCCCCAAAUCCCUGGUGGCCCCGGCCGCGGGGGCUGAGCCGGGGGUCCCGCUUCCGCCCCUCUCUUUCUUCCCCCCCCCCCUCCUCCUUCUUUUUUUCCAUU
Molecule: long non-coding RNA, 1535 nt
Filed under: Calidris pygmaea (Spoon-billed sandpiper)
Lineage: Eukaryota; Metazoa; Chordata; Aves; Charadriiformes; Scolopacidae
Description: lncRNA (ENSCPGG00000014009.1)
Source: RNAcentral